UAAGUAAUUAGGCUGCCUUGCAUCUU
This 26-nucleotide non-coding RNA is filed under the name Rattus norvegicus (Norway rat). Lineage: Eukaryota; Metazoa; Chordata; Mammalia; Rodentia; Muridae. The record is from RNAcentral.